Molecule: ribosomal RNA, 157 nt
Filed under: Ligilactobacillus salivarius
Lineage: Bacteria; Bacillati; Bacillota; Bacilli; Lactobacillales; Lactobacillaceae
Description: Lactobacillus salivarius partial 23S ribosomal RNA
Rfam family: Bacterial large subunit ribosomal RNA
Source: RNAcentral
AAAGCAUCUAAGUGCGAAACUCACCUCGAGAUAAGAUUUCCCAUUACGUAAGUAAGUAAGUAAGAUCCCUGAAAGAUGAUCAGGUAGAUAGGAUGGAAGUGGAAGUGCUGCGAGGCAUGGAGCGGACCAUUACUAAUCGAUCGAGGACUUAACCAAG